RNAcentral lists this unclassified non-coding RNA (201 nucleotides) under Hevea brasiliensis (rubber tree). The record is from RNAcentral. Lineage: Eukaryota; Viridiplantae; Streptophyta; Magnoliopsida; Malpighiales; Euphorbiaceae.
GAUGGAGGGGGAGAGGAAGGCAAAGGUGGGGUGGGUGGAGGAGAACAAGGAGGUAAUGGUGGGGAUCCCAUAGGUAGAGGCGGCAAAUCAGAUAUAUUAUCUAAAGCUGAUUCCAGGGUUCGAUCUGAGCCAGACUGGUUCACAUCAUCUGCAAACAAAGGUCUUUCAUCUUUUGGGUGGCCAGAAACAUCUUCCAUUUCA